AUUUUAAAGGUCAGGAGGCUGCAGGUAUCAGUAACUGGCUAACGCCAAGCUACAGACAAACAACUCAGGGUUGACCAAGACAAGAUCACCUAAGUGCGAGAUAAGGAAUUGGAAGCCACUAUGACUAACUCUGAAGUAGUAGUGCUAUAGUCACAUAACAAUGGUAAAGGCUUUAAAUUUUUUUGGCUAUGCUCUAUGGAAUGACUAAAUGAAAAGGCAGCAUGUUCUUAAAGGAUACAAUAUGACAG
Long non-coding RNA from Ochotona curzoniae (black-lipped pika), 248 nucleotides. RefSeq lists it as uncharacterized. NCBI's taxonomy places the organism in Eukaryota, Metazoa, Chordata, Mammalia, Lagomorpha, Ochotonidae. The record is from RefSeq and is a predicted model, not a curated record. The transcript has 2 exons.